GCGGAGGGUGAAGCCGCCAGGCGGCAAUCGCCUGAGAAGCGAGAGUUCGGCCUAACCAGCCGGAUGGGGUUCGAGUCCCCCUUCCUCCGCC
RNAcentral lists this transfer RNA (91 nucleotides) under Solirubrobacterales bacterium. RNAcentral's name for it is "tRNA-Leu". Lineage: Bacteria; Bacillati; Actinomycetota; Thermoleophilia; Solirubrobacterales. The record is from RNAcentral.